CUUUAUUCUGUCAAACCUUAGCAAUUACAAUGGUAUACAGACACUACAUGACAUCAAUAAUACAGACAUAAAUACAUGAAUACACAGAGCAAAAUAUGUACACUAUUUACAAUUAUACUGAUAGUAUUUAGCCAGGAGGGCACACAUGGGAAUUUAUAAAUCUAAUGAAAGUACACAGCUUUCUCAAUUUAGAUUUUAUAUUUAAAUUCAUAAUUU
RNAcentral lists this long non-coding RNA (216 nucleotides) under Mytilus galloprovincialis (Mediterranean mussel). Lineage: Eukaryota; Metazoa; Mollusca; Bivalvia; Mytilida; Mytilidae. The record is from RNAcentral.